This 429-nucleotide ribosomal RNA is filed under the name Verrucomicrobiota bacterium. Its description in RNAcentral is "Verrucomicrobia bacterium partial 16S ribosomal RNA". It matches the Rfam family "Bacterial small subunit ribosomal RNA", at positions 355 to 776 of the family's 1533-position model. The record is from RNAcentral. Lineage: Bacteria; Pseudomonadati; Verrucomicrobiota.
UAGGGAAUCUUCGGCAAUGGGGGGAACCCUGACCGAGCAACGCCGCGUGAGUGAAGAAGGUUUUCGGAUCGGAAAGCUCUGUUGUUAAGGAAGAACGAGUGUGAGAAUGGAAAGUUCAUGCUGUGACGGUACUUAACCAGAAAGGGACGGCUAACUACGUGCCAGCAGCCGCGGUAAUACGUAGGUCCCGAGCGUUGUCCGGAUUUAUUGGGCGUAAAGCGAGCGCAGGCGGUUAGAAAAGUCUGAAGUGAAAGGCAGUGGCUCAACCAUUGUAGGCUUUGGAAACUGUUUAACUUGAGUGCAGAAGGGGAGAGUGGAAUUCCAUGUGUAGCGGUGAAAUGCGUAGAUAUAUGGAGGAACACCGGUGGCGAAAGCGGCUCUCUGGUCUGUAACUGACGCUGAGGCUCGAAAGCGUGGGGAGCGAACAGG